CAGUCGCCACGGUAAUACAGAGGGUGCAAGCGUUAAUCGGAUUUACUGGGCGUAAAGCGUGUGUAGGUGGCUGUUCAAGUCGGUUGUGAAAGCCCUGGGCUCAACCUGGGAAUUGCUUCCGAGACUGAGCGGCUAGAGUACGGUAGAGGGCGGUGGAAUUUCCGGUGUAGCGGUGAAAUGCGUAGAUAUCGGAAGGAACACCAAUGGCGAAGGCAGCCGCCUGGGCCUGUACUGACACUGAGACACGAAAGCGUGGGGAUCAAACAGGAUUAGAUACCCCCGUAGUCCCUGUCUCUUAUAC
This 301-nucleotide ribosomal RNA is filed under the name uncultured bacterium. RNAcentral's name for it is "partial 16S ribosomal RNA". It matches the Rfam family "Bacterial small subunit ribosomal RNA", at positions 509 to 807 of the family's 1533-position model. The record is from RNAcentral.